RNAcentral lists this ribosomal RNA (433 nucleotides) under uncultured bacterium. RNAcentral describes it as "partial 16S ribosomal RNA". It matches the Rfam family "Bacterial small subunit ribosomal RNA", at positions 29 to 507 of the family's 1533-position model. The record is from RNAcentral.
AACGAACGCUGGCGGCAUGCCUAACACAUGCAAGUCGAACGAGACCUCCGGGUCUAGUGGCGCUCGGGUGCGUAACGCGUGGGAACCUGCCCGUAGGUUCGGAAUAACUCCCUGUAAGGGGUGCUAAUACCGGAUAAUGUCUUCGGACCAAAGAUUUAUCGCCUUUGGGUGGGCGCGCGUUGGAUUAGCUGGUUGGUAGGGUAAAAGCCUGCCAAGGCGUCGAUCCAUAGCUGGUCUGGGAGCAUGCUCAGCCACACUGGGGCUGAGACACGGCCCAGACUGCUACGGGAGGGAGGAGUGGAGAAUACUGGACGAGGGGGGAAGGCCUGAUCCAGCCAUGCCGGGUAAGUGAUGAAGGGGGUAGGGAUGUACAGCUCCUUUACACGGGGCGAUAAUGACGGUACCGGGAGAAUAAGCACCGGCUAACUCCGUG